UACGAGGGGGGCAAGCGUUGUUCGGAAUUAUUGGGCGUAAAGGGUGCGUAGGCGGCGCGGUAUGUCUCUUGUGAAAUCUCCAGGCUCAACUUGGAGUCUGCAAGGGAAACUGCCGUGCUUGAGUACUGGAGAGGUGAGUGGAAUUCCCGGUGUAGCGGUGAAAUGCGUAGAUAUCGGGGAGGAACACCUGUGGCGAAAGCGGCUCACUGGACAGUAACUGACGCUGAUGCACGAAAGCUAGGGGAGCAAACAGG
This 254-nucleotide ribosomal RNA is filed under the name uncultured bacterium. RNAcentral's name for it is "partial 16S ribosomal RNA". It matches the Rfam family "Bacterial small subunit ribosomal RNA", at positions 524 to 776 of the family's 1533-position model. The record is from RNAcentral.